CAUGUCUCCUCCGACAGACCUUCCUCUCCUAUUGCCUAGUCAUAUUAUCCUGGAGUAAAGGUUGAUACCUGAUUCUUGGUAGGUACUCAACUAAAAUUUAUUAAAUAAAUGAGUAUGAGCAGACACAUGAAAUAAAACGUGUUCUUUACUGUUUUCCAGGCUGAGUAUUAGAACUAAAAGGAGAAAUAUAGUAGAAAAAGCAUGAACUUUGGAGUCAAACAAGGAAAGGGACAAUGCCAAUUCUUCUCCCCAUGUGACCCUGAUAAGCAGAUUGUGAGAUUAAGAGAUCAAUCACGAGCUGUGCCAGAGACAGGAGUCAGAUUCAUGUCUGUCUAGUGACAACUCCUUGAACACUCCCUGUAUUGUUUAACGUCUGCAAGCUUUGGGCCUUCUCAUUCUGUGGUGAGACAAUCAUUUGUCCUCUCUCAUCUUUCCAGCCUGCAUCCUGCAGCCUGACCAGAGAAGUCAAGGACCACAGGAUGGUGAGGGAUGCUGCCCAGAAA
Molecule: non-coding RNA, 503 nt
Organism: Miniopterus natalensis
Lineage: Eukaryota; Metazoa; Chordata; Mammalia; Chiroptera; Miniopteridae
Source: RefSeq, a predicted model, not a curated record